UGUGCUCCCUGCCGAGGAGAUGUGAGGGAUUUUCUCUUGGGGGAGAAAUCAGUGGUCGAGCGCCUGCCCAGCUCAAAUGCCACCCGGCUCAGAGGGAGGCCUGCGGCCCAGGGAUCCCGGAGGGAGAGCAACGUCACACCUCCUGAGGACAGCCAGGACUCCAGCUUUUGCUGAGCUUUGCAUCUUGCCUCCUUCCUUCAAAAGGCUCCAGGCCCAUGCUUGGCUGUCUUCAAGUCCCGCAUGCCCCUGGCCAGGCACCUCACCGCCCCUCCAGCCCAGCCCAGUCCUAGAGCUCACCUCCAGGACCCAGAGUCUGCCCUUCUGCCCAGAAUGACUCACCAUUAUUUCUAGCUCAAGUGAGACGUGAUGAGGAGUUGGGCUGCCUGUUUGUGCAUCUCAGAUUCCUGCAGCAUCUGAUCAGCUCUGCAAGGAAGAGAACUUCACGUCUCUGGUCAGGUGGUCAGAAAAGAUCUCCCUGAUAAAGUCACCUUGAACAGAGGUCUGAAGGAUGUGAAGAAGGAGCCAUAAGGAUAUCUGAAAGAUAGGAGGAAAAUAAAAAACAAAAGACUCAAAAUACUGGCCUGAUGCAGCUCUGAUGGAAAGGUGGACCCCUGGCCAGAGAGGAAGAUUCCUAAGGCUCAUCAACCAACCACUGCAGGGAGCUUUCAGAUUUAGAGGAGAAGCCCCACUCCCCCUACUAAACCUCUCCAACGGGAGCUGACAGUCUUUGCCAUUGGCCUGUGAAUGUUCCCUUCCUCCUAUUGGUCAGCCUGGGGCCCUGACCCACCCCACACUCCAAAAUUCUGUUAAUUUCAUCCAGCAUUGUUCAGGUGGCUCCUGUGCACCAGGCCCUGAGGAUACAAAGAUGACUAAGCCUUGGCCGGCAUCCUGGAGGAGCUCACACGGAGAGACCUAUUAGGACUGGCCUGCACUAGCGGUAGGAAUCUGGCUGGAGCUGAAUGUUCACACUCUUUUGGCAGAUGGAGAUGGAGGGUUCCAGGCCAGAAGGGAACGCCUGCAGCGACAGAGCUGAGAAGGGAGCUCGGAUUUUAUGUGACCACCCCCACCUCCUGGGAGAAGCCAAACCACAGAAACAGAGUCCUGGCCUUGCCCUGAGGACAAAGACCGAAAAUGUGCCUGUACCUAAAGCGCCCUCCCCUUUCCACCAUAGGACUCAGGGGCGGGAGGGAGGGAGGGGGCUGCCUCCAACCUUGCUCACUGCUCCGUUGUUAGAAGAGGGAUCUACAAAUGACGGAGGCAAGGGUUUGCCCUGCAUGACUGCUGGACUGUGUGGGCAUUUUUCAUUACCAGGCUCCUUCAAGAUGCUGAUGAGAAUACACCCCCAUAAUUACACCCCUCCCCAUCUUACAGCUUCCUCAGGGAUGGAUCUCCCCCUCCCCAUCCUGUCACUCUUGACAGGUUGCCAUGUGGUCAGUGGGUUUCUUUGUGAGGGUCAGAGAGGGAGGCCUGGGCCUGCUGAGAGGACUGAGCUCCCAUCUGCCUUCAUCAGACUGGAAACUGAGCCAUUCAGAACCUGAUCCAAUGUGUUUUUUUCCAACCCAGUUUGAUUAAAGUCAGUAUCACCUGAAACCCAAGACUAAUGUAUGUCGACAAGGACUCCCAGGUGGCCCCCUCGGCCAGGACAACUCUCCCUCCCUGCAGCCCUUUGGAAACAAACUCAACAGGCAGGAGGCGCCAUUACCAUGGGGCCAGGAGCCAGGCCCUUGCUGAGUGAGACCGAGACGCCACUCUGGAAAGUCUCAGGGCAUCAAUAUUUCAUGCCGCUGGAGCUGUCUUUGUUUUUAUGCAAAUUGCUCAGGCUGCCAGAUGGGCAAAGGCUGGCAGCGUCAUCCAUCACCAGGCUGUUCCCUCGUCAGCAGCCUCACCGGCUGCCAGGGCCCUGCAGGCUGGCCUCAGCUGCGGCCCGUCCUCUCAGUCGGUCUGCACAGCGGGACACAGCCCCAUCCUAGACACUGUGGGAGACGCAGGGGAAGCCAGAGUCCUUGCUCCAGGGGACUCACAGAUGGAUGACUCAUAAUGAGAUAGGAGGCAGCUCGUCACUUCAGUGUGAAUCUGCAUACCUUUCAUUUUAACCCACAAACCUCCACCUGUGUGGAGGGCAUAGCAGGGACAUAGCGAGAGUGGGAUGCCAUAAAUGACUGAAGUCAAGGUUGUAAUGGUCCAGCAACAUUUGCAGAAUCCUGAAAUGGUGCACAGAAUCCUGAAAUGGACAAUCACCUGGAAGCACUGCUGUAGAGGGACUUCCGCAUUGAGAGGGGACUGGAGCCAACUACUCCCAACAUCUCCUUUCCAGAAUUCCAAGUCUCAGGUUUCCUGUGCAUGUCCACCUGUUUUCUCCUCAACAAAACAAAACAAAAAACUUCCCAAGAACCCAAGAGCAUCCUGGUGGGAUUCUGGAAGAUUGGGCCAAUCCAAGAUUCUUUGCAGAUGCUGGACAUUUAACUCUAUCAAACUGGUAGGAGUCAUUCCACUCCUACAUAUUUGCUCGAAGGAAAUGAAAGCAUAACCCCACACAAAGACUAAGGCAUGAAUGUUCACGGCAGCUUUCCAAAAACUGCAACCAACCCAAAAGUCCAGCAGCAAAUGAAAGGAUAAACAACUUGUGUUAUAUCCAUUCAGUGGAAUACUACACAACAAUAAAAAGGAAUGAACUAUUGAUACAUGCAACAAUAUUAAUGAAUCAUAAAAUAUUUCUUCUGAAUGAAAGAUGAAAAAAUGGAGUCUGGAUGAGGAUACACUGUUUGAAACUGGCACUGCCCCACUACGUCCAAUACCACCCUGACCCUCAUCAGCCACCCUCCUAUAUGCAACUUUGAGCUGUACACUGGGGCGACGCAGGUGGGAUCGUAGGGGAAUCCUGUCCUCCAAGACCAAGCAGGCUGAUAGGAAAAGCUCUGCAAAACACAGUCAUGCACCCUGAAAACUUACAAGAGAGCUGAAGAGUGAAGGCUGAUCCCCUGGAAGCUGGUGCUCCAAACUGAGGACAAAAGUGAGCAUCUACACAAGCAGGCUAGCAGCACAGGGAGAGAGAGGGCUCUCUCAGACACUGGCCAGGGCAGGCUCCUGGGACAAGAAAGCGGGACUGAUUCACACCUGGAAGAUAAUCAUCAGGGAGCACCAUCUGCGGUCCAAGACCCCAAAGGAGAAAAUGGUGCUCCGAAGACACGAGAUCAGCACAGAGCUGGAGUCCCCCACCCACAGCCAUCCAGCUGCCAAGCAGUUCAGGACAAGGCCCCCAAAUCAUCAUGCGAAUUACUGUGAAGCUACAUUUCUCCAGGGCUUACCAUGUACAGAGCCAGGAUUUGAACUCGGGUAGACUGAUUCUAUUCUCAGAUUCCAUCCUGCCUCCCAGCCAUCCUACUGCUCACUGAGCCUUGCACAGCAGGCUGGCACCUGGCAUGCUUGGCAGUGGGUACAUCCUUCCUCAUUCCACAACUGAGGAAGCAGCAGCUCCGUGAAAUUAGGCCGUUUGCAAUGGCCACAUACUCCUGAGAGGUAGAAUGGGUAUUCUACCAGUGCUGACCAACCAGACUUGAGCUCAUCAUUCAACACAUGGCACCUGAACUGAGAAAAGGGGUCAUGGGAUGGAAAGAGCUCUGGGCCCCUGACAAUUCUGUGGCCCUAGCCUACAGCUCCCCACAAGGCUCGGCUCCUAUAUAGGGACUCCAUGGUCUAGUGGGAAAGGCCCUGGGCCAGAAGGCCAUGGCCAGGUUUAGGUCAGGACUCUGUAGCACUAGUUAUGUGACCUUAGGAAGUCACUUUGUCCCUGUGACUUGGUUUCCCCAUCUGCAAAACAGAGAUAACAUCUAACCUCACGUGAUUAUUGUCAUCUAGUGAGAUAAGUGAAUGUGGAAUCACUUUGAAAAGACUACAACACUACACUGCAGGAUAGCCUUGUUGCCUGUAAAGGAAACCUCUCCAAGGCUAUGACCACUACAGAUUUUGCCUGAGGUUAAGUCCCUUACUUCUCUCCCACUCCCACCCCCAGCCUGCCUGGGUUCAGUGUUCUUAAAUUGAAACUGAAGCU
This 4048-nucleotide small RNA is filed under the name Pan troglodytes (chimpanzee). Its description in RNAcentral is "processed transcript". Lineage: Eukaryota; Metazoa; Chordata; Mammalia; Primates; Hominidae. The record is from RNAcentral.